This 984-nucleotide ribosomal RNA is filed under the name Borrelia miyamotoi. RNAcentral describes it as "bacterial SSU rRNA". It matches the Rfam family "Bacterial small subunit ribosomal RNA", at positions 167 to 1141 of the family's 1533-position model. Lineage: Bacteria; Pseudomonadati; Spirochaetota; Spirochaetia; Spirochaetales; Borreliaceae. The record is from RNAcentral.
UACCGAAUAAGGUCAAUUGAGGUGUUAAUUGAUGAAAGGAAGCCUUUAAAGCUUCGCUUGUAGAUGAGUCUGCGUCUUAUUAGCUAGUUGGUGGGAUAAGAGCCUACCAAGGCUAUGAUAAGUAACCGGCCUGAGAGGGUGAUCGGUCACACUGGAACUGAGAUACGGUCCAGACUCCUACGGGAGGCAGCAGCUAAGAAUCUUCCGCAAUGGGCGAAAGCCUGACGGAGCGACACUGCGUGAACGAAGAAGGUCGAAAGAUUGUAAAGUUCUUUUAUAAGUGAGGAAUAAGCUUUGUAGGAAAUGACAAAGUGAUGACGUUAAUUUAUGAAUAAGCCCCGGCUAAUUACGUGCCAGCAGCCGCGGUAAUACGUAAGGGGCGAGCGUUGUUCGGGAUCAUUGGGCGUAAAGGGUGAGUAGGCGGAUAUGCAAGUCUAUGUGUAAAAUACCACAGCUCAACUGUGGAACUAUGCUGGAAACUGCAUGACUAGAGUCUGAUAGGGGAAGUUAGAAUUCCUGGUGUAAGGGUGGAAUCUGUUGAUAUCAGGAAGAAUACCAGAGGCGAAGGCGAACUUCUAGGUCAAGACUGACGCUGAGUCACGAAAGCGUAGGGAGCAAACAGGAUUAGAUACCCUGGUAGUCUACGCUGUAAACGAUGCACACUUGGUGUUAAUCGAAAGGUUAGUACCGAAGCUAACGUGUUAAGUGUGCCGCCUGGGGAGUAUGUUCGCAAGAAUGAAACUCAAAGGAAUUGACGGGGGCCCGCACAAGCGGUGGAGCAUGUGGUUUAAUUCGAUGAUACGCGAGGAACCUUACCAGGGCUUGACAUAUACAGGAUAUAGUUAGAGAUGACUAUUCCCCGUUUGGGGUCUGUAUACAGGUGCUGCAUGGUUGUCGUCAGCUCGUGCCGUGAGGUGUUGGGUUAAGUCCCGCAACGAGCGCAACCCUUAUUGUCUGUUACCAGCAUGUAAAGAUGGGGACUCA